This is a long non-coding RNA of Cydia pomonella (codling moth), 1657 nucleotides long. RefSeq lists it as uncharacterized. NCBI's taxonomy places the organism in Eukaryota, Metazoa, Arthropoda, Insecta, Lepidoptera, Tortricidae. The transcript is spliced from 2 exons. The record is from RefSeq and is a predicted model, not a curated record.
AUAUAUAUAUAGUUGGUCAAGCAAAUCUUGUCAGUAGAAAAACGCGGCAAAUUUGAAAAAUCGCGGGCUAGCAACACUGUGUUCGAAUAAUUCCAAAAUCGCGUGUAAUCUGUGUUUUAUCUGUAGAAUGUGGAUCGUCCAUCUUGUUUGUUUACAUUCCGAAUCGGUGCUAAUUCAAGAGAAAUUUCUGCUCCCAGCAUUAAAAUAAAUAUCAAUAUAUUAAAUAAUAUUGUGCAUGACCAUAAGCAAAGUCAAGAUGCCUACAAUGUAAGUAAAAUCAUGCUCGUUGAUCUUAACCAUUAGAAAAUUUUGAGGUUAUGAUAAUUACUUCAAGAUCCCGGAGAAUUUUUAAGAUAAUGUGCAGUUUUUUCUGUUUCAGGGUUAAAAGGCUUAAAUAAAGAUAAAACGUAUGCCUAAAUAUAUCCAAUAAGACCACGAAUUGUGACCUCGAAACCGCAACUGAUUCGAUUGUUCCCAAUAUCAACAGACGAAGUCCUCAAAUAUUUUCAAAGGAUUAAAACUCGCCCAAUAUAAGGCGUUCGUAAAAGUUUCUCUUCAUACAAAACUUACCUACGGCGGUUUACGUACAUACGUGUACAUGUACAACGCAAACAAGACGAAAAAUAAACUUGUUAAUUAAAAAAACUAAAAAAAUUGGGACAAUAGUUUAGAUUAUUAUUGUAAAAGUUGUCCGUUUGUUAAUCAUCACGAAAAUAUAUUAUUUAGGCUGAUUUGUUUCAUGCACUCAGCUAUUGCACAUGUAUACCUAUGGAAAAUCCUAGUUUAUACUUUCUGAAGUUGGUAUGUACCUAUUUAAAAGAAGUUUUAAGUUGCUUUACCUGUUUGUUCAAUAAAUUAAAAUAAUUUAUUCAGUGUGCAUAAUUUUAGAAAAAUAUUUUAACAUUUAAAUCAUACCUUCUUUUAUCCAGAAACAAUAUAACUCCAUAUUACUCACAUGAGUGGAAGUUGUUAAGUUUCCAUUGUCAAGGUAUCUUUGAUUAAUAUUUUGAGUACCUGAAAUUGUGUCAGUUCCUGACAAGUCUUGAAUAGACUAAUGUGAAAGUUAAUAAAAUUUCUUAACAGCAUUCUCCUGAUAUCUAAAUGACUUUUUUAAAUAUCUACAUAUAAAAUAUGAUCUAGCCAAUACAUAUACCUGUAUAAAAACAGUAGUGUGAGCAAAACCUUACCAAGCUAGCAUGUAAGAGUGGUCUCAGAGAUAUUGGAAUAUCUCUGUACUAUAAAUUAGGCAAAUUGCUUUAGACUAAGUUUUAUGUGUAACUACUACUAUAAGAAUACAUUUUGAAACUUGGAAUGGAAACUUUAAACUUGAAAUUACAAAUUUUCAAACAGAUCUGUUUUAUGCUUAAGAUGCAAUAAGUGACUAGGUACAAAGUAUUCUGAUGCUUGGAGUGGACCAGUAACAUUGGUAACUUAAUGAUAUUAUUUCAAUGAAUGGCCUGAAUUAAGUGUAAGUAAGCUAAAGUGACCCGUAUCUUAAUUGCCUUGAAAUUAAAUGAACACCAAAAUAUCUGCAGUUGUGUUUUAUUUAUUUUUAAUCUGUAUAUUUAUAUAAAUAUAUUGUAAAACCAUUUCAAAAUUACACUGGUAUGUGAAUGUGACAUUGUUCAAGAGAAAUACACUAAUUUACAAUUAACAA